Molecule: transfer RNA, 72 nt
Filed under: Thermodesulfatator indicus DSM 15286
Lineage: Bacteria; Pseudomonadati; Thermodesulfobacteriota; Thermodesulfobacteria; Thermodesulfobacteriales; Thermodesulfatatoraceae
Rfam family: tRNA
About the family: Transfer RNA (tRNA) molecules are approximately 80 nucleotides in length. Their secondary structure includes four short double-helical elements and three loops (D, anti-codon, and T loops).
Source: Rfam by way of RNAcentral
GGGCGGAUAGCUCAGCGGGAGAGCAUCGGCCUUACAAGCCGGGGGUCACAGGUUCAAAUCCUGUUCCGCCCA